UAGCUCUGUUGGUAGAGUGCUUGCCUCGCACAUAAGAAGCCCUGGGUUCAAUCCCCAG
This 58-nucleotide transfer RNA is filed under the name Cricetulus griseus (Chinese hamster). It matches the Rfam family "tRNA", at positions 8 to 63 of the family's 71-position model. Rfam says of the family: Transfer RNA (tRNA) molecules are approximately 80 nucleotides in length. Their secondary structure includes four short double-helical elements and three loops (D, anti-codon, and T loops). Lineage: Eukaryota; Metazoa; Chordata; Mammalia; Rodentia; Cricetidae. The record is from Rfam by way of RNAcentral.